This 334-nucleotide long non-coding RNA is filed under the name Ursus maritimus (polar bear). Its description in RNAcentral is "lncRNA (ENSUMAG00000018480.1)". The record is from RNAcentral. Lineage: Eukaryota; Metazoa; Chordata; Mammalia; Carnivora; Ursidae.
CGCUUGUUUGCUCAGAGUCGUUGGCUUUUAGAGGUGGAGCCGCUGCGGGAUCUUUCAGGAAAAAUCCUGGGACUCAUAACAUGGGCGCCUUCGUUGAUGUCCCCUCUUAUCCCUCCUCAAGGCUUUCUGGUCUACAAGGUCUGAAAGUCUAGACUGGCAAUGUGCGCUGAGAGAAGCCUACAUUUUCUCCUGUAAUAACUGUCUUGGAUUGCAGACAUGACACUUCAGCCAGCGCUGUGAAAUAGAUGGGUCUCACCUAUCGGCUUUCCAGGUAGGCCAUCUUAAAAAAGGUAAACCACUGGACACCAAAAACAUGAUCCAUAAAAGAAAAAAU